GACGAACCGUGCAAACGUUAUUCGGAAUCACUGGGCAUAAAGGGCGCGUAGGCGGCUCCAAAAGUCAGGGGUGAAAUCCGGCAGCUUAACUGUCGCAGUGCCUUUGAUACUGUGGAGCUAGAGGGAGGUAGGGGUCUGUGGAACUUCCGGUGGAGCGGUGAAAUGCGUUGAUAUCGGAAGGAACGCCGGUGGUGAAAGCGACGGACUGGAUCUCUUCUGACGCUGAGGCGCGAAAGCCAGGGGAGCAAACGGG
RNAcentral lists this ribosomal RNA (253 nucleotides) under uncultured bacterium. RNAcentral's name for it is "partial 16S ribosomal RNA". It matches the Rfam family "Bacterial small subunit ribosomal RNA", at positions 524 to 776 of the family's 1533-position model. The record is from RNAcentral.